RNAcentral lists this ribosomal RNA (206 nucleotides) under uncultured bacterium. RNAcentral's name for it is "partial 16S ribosomal RNA". It matches the Rfam family "Bacterial small subunit ribosomal RNA", at positions 568 to 774 of the family's 1533-position model. The record is from RNAcentral.
CGCGUAGGCGGACAGUUAAGUUGGGGGUGAAAGCCCGGGGCUCAACCUCGGAAUUGCCUUCAAUACUGGCUGUCUUGAGUGUGAGAGAGGUGUGUGGAACUCCGAGUGUAGAGGUGAAAUUCGUAGAUAUUCGGAAGAACACCAGUGGCGAAGGCGACACACUGGCUCACUACUGACGCUGAGGCGCGAAAGCGUGGGAGCAAACA